UGCAACCCAGGCCAUUCUGUGACUCUACGAUAUGAAAUUAUCGCAAAGAGCCCACUGAAAGAUGCAAGGAAAGAAAGGAGCCCUCACGCGGCCCAUAACAAACAUGGCGGCAGCACCGCCCGUAGCAGCGGAAGCAGAACGCUGGCUCUCCAUUGGCCAAAUUCAUCGCUGACGAGCCCGCCUCCUCACUUAACUCGCCUUCCGAUAGGCUUUCGCGUUCUCUGAGCCCGCCCCUACCUCCUUGCUGUCACAGGGCGCAAAGUUUGUGCGCAUGCUCAGCGUCCCCGGAAGUUGUGUAGUGAGGGCGCGGCGCAAAAUGGCGGCUGCGGGGCGGCUGCAGGCCUGGGGCGUGCUGCGCAAACCGAGCCCGGUGACGGAACUGUGGGACGGCACGCGGUGGGAAUUGCCGCUGGGCUGAGCCAGGCCCGUCGGUGAGGAGCCCCCAGUGCUUCAGGAGUGGUCUCGUCAGGGCGGAGCAGAGCAGGAGGAGCGUCUUUCUCGCCCUGCUGGCCGUGCUCCGUCCAUCCCAGGACACACUGCUGCCCCAGUGCCAGCCACAGACCGACAUUCACAGCCGGUCAUCAUCCGUUUGGCAGCUGUUGGUCAAUCGUUGGUCAGCCAGAACCCCCACGUCCUUCUCACAGCUCCUCUCCAGCAGCUCAGCCCCAACCUGCGCAGCUCCAUGAGGUUAUUUCUCCCCAGCUGUAGGAUCCUGCACUCCUCCUUGUUAGACCCAAGGAUCUCCAACCCUCACCGAAAGCCAGGCUGGAUUUUUCCAUGCUGCCAGCAAUGUGUCAGAUUCCCUCUGCCAGCCUACAUCAUCUAUAAAGAUGGAGUGCUUAGGAAAUACCAGGAUGAAAACUGAUUUCAUAAACUUUAUCAAAGACCAGGAAUGGAAAUCCACUGAACCAGUUUCAUCAUGGUUUCAUCCUUCCUUCUACCUGGUGAGCAGUAUGUCAGCUUUGUGUCAGAUGUCAGCGUGGAUCAGGCACUGCCACGGUUAUUUAACAGAAGGCAUUGGAAUGCAGAUUUGGGGCUCGUAUGCUGUGUUCCUGUUGGCAACUCUCUUCUCAGGACUGAUCUGCAACUUGAAAGUGAACCACUUGAAGCACAUCAGUUUGUGUCUGCUGCGUGCCUUUGGUUUAACCUUAUCUUUCUUCCAUUUCAGAUAAUGGUGUUCUUAGCAGACUGCCUCUGUGCUUCCAAAAACACAGGCCAGCACAGUACCCUUAUUCAAGCAAGCACACUGUGUGCUUCUAGUUCAGCUGUUGGGUAAAUCUUAAUAAAAAUGGGUUUGUAACUUGUGUCUGCAGAACAGGAGCUUUAGGGAAGAAGUCUCAUGUGUGAUUUGUGUUUUCUUUACCUGCAGCUACUUGCAUUUUAUGGUUUAUAUUGGGAUUGUGUAUGCAGCUAACACUAAACUAUUUCUUCAAAAUAAUUCUUCAGCUGGCAGAAAAAUACCACGUCUGCAAGUUGUGAAAUGCACGGGAGAUAGAAUAAAGUUGUUGAAUCACUGCCUUCUUUUCUGGAGUUCUCAGUUUUGAAGAGUUGGGGGAUUUGUCUCUUGUUGAGGGGCAAAGUGUCACAGAAUUGUAGGGGUUGGAAGGGACGUCUAGAGAUCAUCGAGUCCAACCUCCUGCAGAGCAGCUCCUUCAGCAGGCUGCACAGGUUGGCAUCUCUAGCCUGGAAGACAGCACACCUCUCUGGAGAGGUUCCCACGUGGGAGCCUCCGUGCCCCCCAGCAAGGAGUCCCCAAUUACUAAGACUCUCUGCCCUUUUUUGGUGGCACUGGUACUGAUGCAGUACCCCGACUGGCCCUGCUCCCUAUGCUUCUUACCCCCUGUAUUAUCAACAUGCCUCUCAGGGCUGGGUUCUGACUGCUUUUCAGACUGCUGUCCAGCCUGAAAGCCUCAGAUCCAUUACUCAGGGGCACUUCAGGGGUUCUCUAUAACAGAGAAGCAAAACUGCAGCUGUUUCCAUGGAAAAAAAAAAAAUGCUGUAACACUAUAGUGAGUGAGCCAUUUGUGAUGUGUUGCUGUGAAAAGAAGAGCUUAAAUGAUUCCCUGGACUGAAGCUGCACUGAGAUACUUGUGGUCUCUAGCUGGGACUGGCUUGCAUAUCUCAUGGUCAUUUGAGUAAUUUGGGUUAGAUGAUUUUUAUGGUUUGGGAAAGAGCUUUCAUGCAUACCAGGCUCUGAGUGAUAGCCGGCGGGUGGGGGGAUGUAUUCUUGUGUUGCAAAAAGAAUGUGGGCCAGUUGACAAACGAUGUUUAAAAUUCAGUUCUUUGUUACUUCUUUCCAUUUGCCAAAAAUCCUGCUGCAUAUGGACGCAAAUCAUCUCAGCUACAGAGUGCUUCCUCCUCUUGUCCACCUACACACAGUAUAUCAAACCCUACCAGCCGUGGUGGCCAACACCGGUGCGUUUAUCUUGGAGUAGGAAGCUCAGAUGAGGAUUGGCCAAGUUCUGCAAUGAAAGAUCCUUGGCAGGGGGAACAAAUCAACACAAGGAACUGCUGAUUAAAUAACCCUUGGCUAGAUUUAUGUAGAGCGCGUGAUAUCCUGAUGUCCUGUGGUCACUUCUGAAAACACCUCUUGUGUCUUCUGCUCACCCAGGAAAUCGGCUGCUGCCGUGACAGUGAUUUCAGCUCCAAAACUGUGAAAUUUGGGGCAGGAUCUUGAGAGAUGUGUGCACUUGUGGAGCUCAUGGGCACUGCUCUUUGGAUUUGUCCAUUGCAGUUGUGUAGUUGGCCAUGAGCCGAUGUUCCUCACCAAAACUCAAAUGUCCCAGACAGAGAUCUGCUCCAUCUGGAGCACUGAUCUGUUUGUAAAGGUCUUUGGAACGUGUCUCUCCAUGGUUUACUCCAGCUCUACCCUGAAAAGUGGUGGAAGAAGUUGUUGGGUUGUAAGAAGGAAACCAAGCCAGGGGAAUCAUGGGGCCAUUCAGUUUGGAGAGGACCUCCAAGAUCCCUGUCCUGUCCCACCCUGCCCACUGCCACAUCCCCACAGCUCUGGAACACCUCCGGGGAUGGUGACCCCACCAUUCCCUGUGCAGCUGUGCCAAUACCUCACCACUCUUUCAGAGAAGAAAUUGUUCCUAAUAUCCAGCCUUGGAGAUGCACUUAAAGGUUGCUUGGACCAAUGUUAUUCCUGAAGGAAAUGUUUCUUCUACAGCAAGACCAGAAAUAAUUUCAUAGCUUAACAGAGCAUGGCAAAAGCGUGAAACAAACCAGUGUAAGUAAUUUGAGUUGAUAGAUGUGCAUACAGUGGGUACAGGGCCAAGUUGUGCCACGUUACGGUAUGGUACCCCAUCCCUGGAAGUGCCCAAGGCCAGGCUGGAUGGUGCCAUGGGCACCCUGAGCUGGCAGUACCUAUUGCAGUGGUUGGUAACCCUAGUUUGGAACUAGGUGAUCUUAGAGAUGCCUUCCAACCCAACCAUUCUUUGAUCUCCGCGCUGCUUCUCACACUGCGCGUUGCCCUUGGCCAGGGCCAGGCUGGGGAAGCAGCAGUCAGCUGGUGGCAGCAGAGCCGUGCAGUGUGCGAGCUGCUCGCAGAGCUGGUUUUGUCAGGGUUUGCUCCCUGCAAAGCCUGGGGCUUUGUCA
Meleagris gallopavo (turkey) is the source of this 3597-nucleotide non-coding RNA. Lineage: Eukaryota; Metazoa; Chordata; Aves; Galliformes; Phasianidae. The record is from RefSeq and is a predicted model, not a curated record.